Molecule: non-coding RNA, 73 nt
Organism: Schistocerca nitens (vagrant locust)
Lineage: Eukaryota; Metazoa; Arthropoda; Insecta; Orthoptera; Acrididae
Source: the annotation of a RefSeq genome assembly
GCUGUGAUGGUGUAAUGGUUAGCAUUUCUGCCUAGCAAGUAAGAAGCCCCGGGUUUGAGUCCCGGCCACAGCA